UGGGGAAUAUUGCACAAUGGACGGAAGUCUGAUGCAGCAACGCCGCGUGCGGGAUGACGGCCUUCGGGUUGUAAACCGCUUUUUCUCAUGACGAAGUUUUUUGACGGUAGUGGGGGAAGAAGCACCGGCUAACUACGUGCCAGCAGCCGCGGUGAUACGUAGGGUGCGAGCGUUGUCCGGAAUUAUUGGGCGUAAAGAGCUUGUAGGCGGUUUGUCGCGUCGAUAGUGCAAACUCAGUGCUUAACGCUGAGCCUGCUGUUGAUACGGGCAGACUAGAGGAAGGUAGGGGAGAAUGGAAUUCCCGGUGGAGCGGUGGAAUGCGCAGAUGUCGGGAGGAACACCGGUGGCGAAGGCGGUUCUCUGGGCCUUUCCUGACGCUGAGAAGCGAAAGCGUGGGGAGCGAACAGG
RNAcentral lists this ribosomal RNA (408 nucleotides) under Fusobacteriota bacterium. RNAcentral's name for it is "Fusobacteria bacterium partial 16S ribosomal RNA". It matches the Rfam family "Bacterial small subunit ribosomal RNA", at positions 355 to 776 of the family's 1533-position model. Lineage: Bacteria; Fusobacteriati; Fusobacteriota. The record is from RNAcentral.